This 465-nucleotide long non-coding RNA is filed under the name Elaeis guineensis (African oil palm). Its description in RNAcentral is "long non-coding RNA (EGUI_LNC066481)". Lineage: Eukaryota; Viridiplantae; Streptophyta; Magnoliopsida; Arecales; Arecaceae. The record is from RNAcentral.
GAUCAUUUAACCCUAGAACGAUUCUUAAUCAUUGAUCAACCAUCCGAUCGGAUCAUGAACUCUAAUGUGUGUGACCUCAUAGGUCCGAACCUAAACUGGUAGUACAAGAAUAAAUUUUUGUACCAAUCGAAGUGACCAUCUAGCAAUGGUACCCGACGACCAGAUAGGUCGAAUGUGUAGAACAACAUCCUUAGAACCCAUGCGGAUAUAGUUUUCAUAUAAUUCAUCCCCUUGACCAAAAUGAUCAUAGGACACCCCAGAGUUCAACUAUCAACUCUGAUCAGGUUGUCCACAUUGUAUUUCAAAAUAUCAAAUCCAUCUGAUGGAUUACCCUGGCCAAGGUUUUGCUAAAUUGAAAUACAGCGACUCAUUCUUCUCCAACUCUUGGAGUGGUCAAUCCCAUCUCGAUCACACUCUGACUUCACAAGUACUUGACUGUGCCCAGAAGCCUUCCGUUUCUGAAUU